ACCAUUCCUUCGGGCCUGGGGACAGCGGCGAACGGGUGAGUAACACGUGAGUAAUCAACCCUCGGCACCGGGAUAGCCCGGGGAAACCCGGAUUAAUACCGGAUGGCCCAUCCGCUUUUUGGAGCGGCUGGAAAAGGUAGCUUCGGCCUCUGGCCGAGGACGAGCUCGCGGCCGAUUAGCUUGUUGGUGGGGUAAUGGCUCACCAAGGCUCCGAUCGGUAGGUGGUCUGAGAGGACGAUCAGCCACACUGGGACUGAGACACGGCCCAGACUCCUACGGGAGGCAGCAGUGGGGAAUCUUGCGCAAUAGGGGAAACCCUGACGCAGCGACGCCGCGUGCGGGAAGAAGGCCUUCGGG
This 357-nucleotide ribosomal RNA is filed under the name uncultured bacterium. RNAcentral describes it as "bacterial SSU rRNA". It matches the Rfam family "Bacterial small subunit ribosomal RNA", at positions 71 to 422 of the family's 1533-position model. The record is from RNAcentral.